ACCAGGAUUGCUGAGUGGUUAAGGCAUUGGACUCAAGUUCCAAUGGAUGUAUGUCCACCUGGGUUCAAACCCCACUCCUCGUA
RNAcentral lists this transfer RNA (83 nucleotides) under Xenopus laevis (African clawed frog). It matches the Rfam family "tRNA". From Rfam's summary of the family: Transfer RNA (tRNA) molecules are approximately 80 nucleotides in length. Their secondary structure includes four short double-helical elements and three loops (D, anti-codon, and T loops). Further hydrogen bonds mediate the characteristic L-shaped molecular structure. tRNAs have two regions of fundamental functional importance: the anti-codon, which is responsible for specific mRNA codon recognition, and the 3' end, to which the tRNAs corresponding amino acid is attached (by aminoacyl-tRNA synthetases). tRNAs cope with the degeneracy of the genetic code in two manners: having more than one tRNA (with a specific anti-codon) for a particular amino acid; and 'wobble' base-pairing, i.e. permitting non-standard base-pairing at the 3rd anti-codon position. The record is from Rfam by way of RNAcentral. Lineage: Eukaryota; Metazoa; Chordata; Amphibia; Anura; Pipidae.